This 1623-nucleotide long non-coding RNA is filed under the name Amborella trichopoda. RNAcentral describes it as "long non-coding RNA (ATRI_LNC002428)". The record is from RNAcentral. Lineage: Eukaryota; Viridiplantae; Streptophyta; Magnoliopsida; Amborellales; Amborellaceae.
AAGCCAAGUCUUAUGAUCUUGAGCCUCUUCUCAAAUGUGUGGGCUUUGUAGGGCCGUGACUUUAUGAUAAUUGGUAAUGCCGCGCUUCAAACUCCUAGUGAAAAAUGCAUUCUUGGUGAGGGAAACCUUUGUGAUAGCCUACAAAAUUAUUUUUGCAGAUCUGAUGGAUUUUUUAAUACUUGAUAUAAAUAAUAUAUAAAGCAUGUUUAAAGAUUAUUUUCAUGACUUGAAAUUCAUUUUCUUUUCCAAGGUCAGUGCUUUUUUGUAAUGAUUGAUUUGAGAGGCUUUCUGGUGUUAAAACUGUUGGAAAUUGUGGCCUUUGAGGCCCUUUUAUUCAAAUAUCCAAUUAUUAUGGGACUAAAUAUAUUAGUUAAUAAUAUCGUGGUUUUGUUAUAAAAAGAGUUAUACAUAGAUGUAAAUAUUACUAGGUCUGUAGUGCCUAAUUAAUUGUACUCAGAGUUUUAAUAACUAGGUGACAACUUGUUAAAACUCCCAAUACCUUUUAGGGUGAAUAAAGAUCAGAGUUAUAAUUUGGAUCUCAACUCCUAAAGAGCAUCAAAUAUCAUAAGUAAUUAAUGCGGUAGGGACUCAUUAAAAUAAAAGGUUUCUUGAGAAGUGUAAUGAAAGAAACAAAAAAGGGCCGAGGGAGCAAAUUAGCUCGUAUUGCACACCUGUCACCAUGGGGUUCAGCCUAUAAGAUUUGAAUUAGGACCAAUGUUUUUUUGUGUAGUUUGGGGACAGAUCCAAGUAUUGGUAAUCCUUUCAAAGCAUUGUUUUUGUUUGUUUGCGAGGAACCAACAAAAACUACAUUUUAUGGAGAUUUGAGAUAAUAUAAACUCCACCAUUGCUGGUCCCAAGCUUGAAUGAGAAAAGCGGAGGGUUAUGUUAGGUUGGCAGCCAUUGUAAGACUUUUACCACAUCUCUACUAUGAAUAGCCAAUCCCAAAUAAUUGAGAUAAAGCUCGAAUGAUGAUGAUGAUAAUGAUUUGAGAUGAUAAAACUACAGAUCCUGCUUUACACUCCCAUAUCUCAUGCGUUUAUGGACAAAGAAUAUACCCUACUUGCAUGUAACAUAAGGGUGUCCAUUAUCUUUAAGGAGUCAUAUAUAGAUAGGUGACAACUUGUUAAAACUCUCAAUGCCUUUUAGGGUGAAUAAAGAUAAGAGUUACCAUUUGGAUCUCAACUCCUAAAGGGCAUCAAUUAUUAUAAUUAAUUAAUGCGGUAGGGACUCAUUAAAAUAGAGGGUUUUUUGAGAAAUGUAAUGAAAAAAACAAAAAAGGGCCGAGGGAGCAGUUCGCUCGUGUUGCAUACCUAUCACCAUGGGGUUCGGUCCAUAGGAUUUGAAUUAUGACCCUUGCUUUUUGUGCAGUUUGAGGACAGAUCCAAGUAUCAGUAAUCCUUUCAAAAACUACAUUUUAAGGUGAGAUUUGAGAUAAUAUGAACUUCACCAUUGCUGGUCCCAAGCCUUAAUGAGAAAAGAGUCGUGUUAGGUUGGCAGCCAACGUAAAACAUUUACCACAUCUCUAUUAUGAAUAGCCAAUCCUUUGAGAUAAAGCUCGAAUGACGAUGAUGAUAAUGAUUUGAAAUGAUAAAACUAUAGAUCCUGCUUCUAUGGACAAAAAGU